This 625-nucleotide unclassified non-coding RNA is filed under the name Hevea brasiliensis (rubber tree). Lineage: Eukaryota; Viridiplantae; Streptophyta; Magnoliopsida; Malpighiales; Euphorbiaceae. The record is from RNAcentral.
GAAAGAGAAGGAAAGGGAGAAAAGGGCAAGAAAGAAGGAGAAAAGGAAGGCAUCAGCGGAGGAAGUGAAUGCUUUCAAUAAGGGUGAAUCUUCUCCAAGUUUUGAACCUCCAAUUGAAACCAAGGAUUCUGAAACAAGAGAGAAGCCAAUGACAGUGACAAAGAGAGCUCAAAAGCCAUUGCAUUUCACAAAGCAGACGAAGUCAAAAUCUAUGCCUCCACCACUUCGCAACCGAGGCAAGAGAAGGAUGGAGACAUGGAUGUGGGUUCUCCUUGCUGCUGUCGUCAUUUUCGGCUUUUUUUUAAUGGGGAAUGGCAGAGUCUCUCUAAAAGGGCUUGGUUUCUAAAGAUACGCGCUUAUUACAUUAACGAGAUAAUUUAUAGAGCAUGGCAGGAUACUCAUAUUCCCAUAGAUUUUUAGGCGAUUCUUUUUCUGUUCACAGUGUUUGAUUCCUUACUAGUUUGCAUUCAAUUAACUGGAAGUGGCUUUGAGUUUUGCUCACACCCCACUGAUAGGUUGGUUUUCCUAAAUAUGCCAUCAUGAAUGUUAUUAUUGGAUAUUGCUUCCAGUUUAGUAUGAUGCACAUAAAUGCAAUAAGUAAGGAAUCAAACACUGUGAACAGAAA